GGCUGUUUACGUCAUGGCAUGUUUGUAUGUGAAUAUAGUUGUGUUUACUUAAUCUAUCCAUCUACGUUUUUAUCAUCACUGGUCUCUUUUUAUCCGUCUUUUUCCUUCUUUGCUUUUCCUUCGUGUUUUUUUUUUUCUUCUUUCUCUUCUAACUUUCCCCUUCUUUGUGUUCUUGGCAGUCAGGUAGUUCCUCUCUCUCUCUAGAUCUCUUUCAAAUGAAUUAUUUAGUUAUCCUUGCGGUCUUGAUAGUCUAUUUAUUUUGGUGAUCGAGGCCUC
RNAcentral lists this long non-coding RNA (276 nucleotides) under Musa acuminata (dwarf banana). Its description in RNAcentral is "long non-coding RNA (MACU_LNC011457)". The record is from RNAcentral. Lineage: Eukaryota; Viridiplantae; Streptophyta; Magnoliopsida; Zingiberales; Musaceae.